AUAGAAAAGAUAUUUUAACCUCAACUGAUAGUAUGGCGGUUGCUGGCCCGAUCAGAGGCACAUGCCGAUAAACGAAACUGCACGAACACCUUACUUCUUCUUUUAGCUCGUUUAUAUUACUUGCUAAUAAUUUUGUACAUCGCUGUUUUUAGGUUAGAUGCUCAAGUUUAGCCCUUUUCUUUGAAGCUGGACUACAGUUUAUUCUUUGGUCCUAUUGAGGAAAACAACAAGUCAAGACACAGAGAAUGGAGAAGACCAAGUGUGUGUCACCGCUAAUGAAUUUAUUACUUCACUCUUUUCUGAAUCACCGAAACAGAGGGAAAAGAAUCUGAUAGUAAGGACACAUUCAUCAAAUUGUCCUGAACUGGUAACCAGUAGCGUACACACC
This 388-nucleotide ribosomal RNA is filed under the name Polyplax arvicanthis. RNAcentral describes it as "partial 12S ribosomal RNA". The record is from RNAcentral. Lineage: Eukaryota; Metazoa; Arthropoda; Insecta; Psocodea; Polyplacidae.